RNAcentral lists this ribosomal RNA (251 nucleotides) under uncultured prokaryote. RNAcentral describes it as "partial 16S ribosomal RNA". It matches the Rfam family "Bacterial small subunit ribosomal RNA", at positions 525 to 775 of the family's 1533-position model. The record is from RNAcentral.
ACGAACCGGACGAACGUUAUUCGGAAUCACUGGGCUUAAAGGGUGCGUAGGCGGCCUGACAAGUUGGGUGUGAAAUCCCUCGGCUUAACCGAGGAAUUGCGCUCAAAACUGUUGGGCUUGAGGGAGUUAGAGGUGAGCGGAACUUAGGGUGGAGCGGUGAAAUGCGUUGAUAUCCUAAGGAACACCAGUGGCGAAAGCGGCUCACUGGAGCUUUUCUGACGCUGAGGCACGAAAGCUAGGGGAGCGAACGG